UCCGGAGGGGGCUAGCGGUGUUCGGAAUUACUGGGCGUAAAGAGCACGUAGGCGGAUUGUUAAGUCGGGGGUGAAAUCCCGGGGCUCAACCCCGGAAUGGCCUCCGAUACUGGCAAUCUUGAGGACGGGAGAGGUGAGUGGAAUGGCGAGUGUAGAGGUGAAAUUCGUAGAUAUUCGGCGGAACACCAGUGGCGAAGGCGGCUCACUGGCCCGAUACUGACGCUGAGGUGCGAAAGCGUGGUGAGCAAACAGG
This 253-nucleotide ribosomal RNA is filed under the name uncultured bacterium. RNAcentral describes it as "partial 16S ribosomal RNA". It matches the Rfam family "Bacterial small subunit ribosomal RNA", at positions 524 to 776 of the family's 1533-position model. The record is from RNAcentral.